GAUGAACGCUGGCGGCGUGCCUAAUACAUGCAAGUCGAGCGAACAGACGAGGAGCUUGCUCCUCUGACGUUAGCGGCGGACGGGUGAGUAACACGUGGAUAACCUACCUAUAAGACUGGGAUAACUUCGGGAAACCGGAGCUAAUACCGGAUAAUAUAUUGAACCGCAUGGUUCAAUAGUGAAAGACGGUUUUGCUGUCACUUAUAGAUGGAUCCGCGCCGCAUUAGCUAGUUGGUAAGGUAACGGCUUACCAAGGCAACGAUGCGUAGCCGACCUGAGAGGGUGAUCGGCCACACUGGAACUGAGACAUGGUCCAGACUCCUACGGGAGGCAGCAGUAGGGAAUCUUCCGCAAUGGGCGAAAGCUUGACGGAGCAACGCCGCGUGAGUGAUGAAGGUCUUCGGAUCGUAAAACUCUGUUAUUAGGGAAGAACAAAUGUGUAAGUAACUAUGCACGUCUUGACGGUACCUAAUCAGAAAGCCACGGCUAACUACGUGC
Molecule: ribosomal RNA, 498 nt
Filed under: uncultured bacterium
Lineage: Bacteria
Description: partial 16S ribosomal RNA
Rfam family: Bacterial small subunit ribosomal RNA
Source: RNAcentral